CCUACGGGAGGCAGCAGUGGGGAAUAUUGCACAAUGGGGGGAACCCUGAUGCAGCGACGCCGCGUGAGUGAAGAAGUAUUUCGGUAUGUAAAGCUCUAUCAGCAGGGAAGAAAAUGACGGUACCUGACUAAGAAGCCCCGGCUAACUACGUGCCAGCAGCCGCGGUAAUACGUAGGGGGCAAGCGUUAUCCGGAUUUACUGGGUGAAAAGGGAGCGUAGACGGCAGAGCAAGUCUGAAGUGAAGGCCCGCGGCCCAACUGCGGGACUGCUUUGGAAACUGCCCGGCUGGGGGGCUGAAAGGGUAGCCGGAAUUCCUGGGGUAGCGGGAAAAGGGGUGAAAAUAAGGGGGAACCCCGGUGGGAAGGGCGGCUAACGGACAGUAACUGACGUUGAGGCUCGAAAGCGUGGGGAGCAAACAGGAUUAGAUACCCGUGUAGUC
Molecule: ribosomal RNA, 439 nt
Filed under: uncultured bacterium
Lineage: Bacteria
Description: partial 16S ribosomal RNA
Rfam family: Bacterial small subunit ribosomal RNA
Source: RNAcentral